AGUGCAGCACAGACAGGGACACAGCCCAGGAGCUCCUGAGGUCCCUGGCGACAGUUAGCUCAGGACAAGAGGACAAGAAGCCACACAUGGUCCUGUUCUUCUAGUGUGACCUGUGGGAAGCUGAGGUGGAAGGGGGCAUAGCCUACUCACUCGUGAGAUAGGAACUUAACGCGUGGCACUGCCCAUUCGCGCCCAGAGACCAAGAGCAAAUGGAAGCCCAGGGGAUACAAGGAGCAGAGUCUCUGGAUCUACGGCAGGAGGAAGGACCUGAGUACUGGAGAGAUAAAAGGCUGGCCUCAAACUCAGCAUUCUUCCCCCAGAACAGCAGGGUGGCCCUGCCGGGGCAGGGUAGCCCAGUACAAGCCUCAAGCCAGUGUCAGCAGGUCCAACGACAGCGCUGGCGGCCUCGGCUCCGGGGCACUCGUGUGGCUCCGGUUCUGCUUUUCCUCCAAGUCCCUCAGGGAGCCGUGAGGGAAGAAAGGGCUCGGAGCUGAGGCCACAGUCUUCUCACUGCCGAUUCGGGGUUGCUGUGCUGGCACUGUGCAGUGUUGUGUGGCACUGCCAGGUGUGCACACGGGUGGCCUGGCACUCAGCCUUCUCCAGCCAGUAUCCGGGGUCGGCAGCUGCCGCUCGGGCCAGCGCGGGUGCCUGGAUCCGGGAUCAACUCUGGGAUGCUGCGUCUCCGCGCCAUGGCCGGGACCUUUCUGAGUGUGAGUUUCCGAUUCCAGUCUAGAGGGGUGAGGUGACGUGAUGAAGGACCAUAAGCGAGUGCCAGGCUCCCUGGGCCCCAGGGAGCAGUCGCCAGGGGGACUGACACCCCCACUCUCUCCUCUUCCUCCACCAACCUGCGGUGUGCAGAGCAGCCGUGGGACUUCACAGGGGCAGUGAACGCACCACGUGGACACCACGACCCAGGAUGCCCUUCCUCUGGUCAGUGAUCCCGACACACUCUGCUGCCACGUCGGCAUGCAUUCUCCCCCAAGGACACACCACCCACGAGGACUCCUGUCCCACAAGGACUCCUGUCCCACAAGGACUCACGGCCCACGAGGACUCACGGCCCACAAGGACUCACAGCUCAUGAGGCCUCUCAGCCCACGAAGACUCACGAGAACUCAUGGCCCAUGAGGACUCACAGCCCUUGAGGACUCAUGAGGACACACGGCUCACGAGGACACACGGCCCACGAGGACUCACAAGGACUCACAGCCCACGAGGAUGCACAGCCCACGAGGACGCGCAGAUGAGUCAUGCUGUCCCUGUGGUUUGGCAUCGGGAGACCAGAUGCUGGCUCUGGUCCUGUCACAGUGAAGACGCACGUGUGCUGAGAGGCUGCAGCCAUGGAAUUGUGAGCUCUGGGGGUGCGGAAGGUCAAAGAGCUGCCUCGCGUCCCCACAUGCUUACAGACGUCAGCAGCUCCCGGGCCCGGAAGGCCGGACGAGCGAGCGUGCUUCAGGUGCAGCAGACCACCGUAAAAGAAAAGCUCAGGGGAUGGAUCUAGGUGCACAGCUCUGGAGAGGCCACCCCCGAGGCACCACACAGAGCCACAGUCCCGGCCUCCGUCUUUCUCUGCCACAACCAGACAAGCUCACGCUGGCAUGCUCUGCCCGGAGAAGAACGACCCCAGCGUCGGUGUACAGCCCGGGGCCAUGAUGACUGGUGUGGUGCACAGCGCGUGUCAGCAGCUCACCAGAGCCUCCGUGGGCCCAAGGGUCUGUUCCUGUGCGUCCAGCACAGUGGCGGGCAGGAGCCACAGUCACACCGGCUAGCACUUCCGGGAGUGCAGGCCCGUAGGACGGCACAGCAGCUGCACGUGCAAGCGUGACUCUGUCCCACCUGACAGGUCUGAGGCUCAGGAAGAGGCAAAGGAAGCUUCCUCUCUGGGUUCUAGUGGUCCCCGGCAGAAGGAUCUUAGAGAAGUGGCACACCUGGGCACUGUCAUGUCCCAGAGAAACCCAGGGCAAACGGCUGUCUGCUGCUGUGAGCACACCAAGGGUCCUGUUGGCCCAGGCUCCCAGUCCUGGGGCUCCCCUCAUCUCCUCACCCCAGGCUACCCUAACAUCUCCUUCAUGGCCUUCCCUUCCCCGAGCUUCUUAUUCCAAUAUAAUCCUGCCAUUCUAGCCAGGGACCCUGUCAUUCCCCUCGCUUGGACCUGUCUCUCUCUCGGUCCUCUCUCUCUGUCUCUCUCUCUGUCUCUCUCUCUGUCUCUCUCUCUGUCUCUCUCUCUCUCUCUCUCUCUCUCUGUCCCCUCUCUGUCCUCUGCCUUGGUCUCCUCUCUUCUCUCUCUUGGUCCCCUCUCUUUUCUCUGUCUUGGUCCUCUCUUUGUCCUCUGUCUUGGUCCUCUCUCUCGGUCUCCUCUUCAUCACCUAAUCUCUUCCUUUCUUGCUCCUCCCUCCUCUCUCUCCUUUCUUGGCCCAUUUCACUCUGCUGUUCGGUCCACUUCCUUCCGUGCUCUGGACUCUUCCAGAUGCCUCUGGCUGUUCUCUCCCUCGUGUCUACAGCAACACCCUCCUCGAGCACACCCUGUAGCCAUGUCCUCACCGUCUACGUUCAUGGUGGACGCCUUUUCCCUCUGGGCGAGGCAGAACCCCCUUUCCCACCCCAGGCUCACCCCUCCUUCUACCCAGCAGGAAAACCUGGACUAGAAGCCCAGGUUAGAAAGCUCUAUUUGUCAUCAUAGUCUCCACCAGGCCCAUGGGUACAUGCUGAGGAGGUGACGGGCAGUGCCGCGUGGAAGCACCUGCAGCCAGUGCCCUGGGAAUAUCACUUGCAGAGCACAGCUUCCGUCCUGCAGGUACCCGCUUCGUAGCACAAACUCGAGAAGGAAUGCCUGACUCAGGGCCAAGGAGAUGGCCUGCUGGACUAGAACUUGGACCCACAGAGUCCAUAGAAGUGGCAGCGGGUGUGUGGCAGCACACUCCAAUCCCACCACACGGAAGGCCAAGACAGGAGGUCCCGGAAGCAAGCUGGUAGCUAGACUAGCCCAACCGGAAGCUCUGGCUCACUGUACUGCCUUUCCAUGUGACGGGGAAGCAGUACAGGAAAAGCUGCCACCCACCAGCCUCCACAUACAUUCAUGAACAUGCACACACACACAUACAUCCAUGACAUGCAUAUACACACAUGCAUUCAUAGCAUGCAUAUACACACAUACAUCUAUGACACACAUUUACACACAUACAUUCAUAACAUGCAUACACACACAUACAUCCAUGACAUGCAUAUUCACACAAACAUUCAUAACGUGUAUACACACAUGCAUUCAUAGCAUGCAUAUACACACAUACAUCCAUGACACACAUUUACACACAUACAUUCAUAACAUGCAUACACACACAUACAUCCAUGACAUGCAUAUACACACAUGCAUUCAUAGCAUGCAUAUACACACAUACAUCCAUGACACACAUUUACACACAUACAUUCAUAACAUACAUAUACACACAUACAUCCAUGACAUGCAUAUUCACACAAACAUUCAUAACGUGUAUACACACAUGCAUCCAUAACAUGCAUAUACACACAUACAUCCAUGACACACAUUUACACACAUACAUUCAUAACAUACAUAUACACACAUACAUCCAUGACAUGCAUAUACACACAUACAUUCAUAACGUGUAUACACACACACACACACACACACACACACACACACGAAGCAAUAUGAACACUUAGGGAUCAAGCUGCUUCUUUUCAACCAAAUCAAGUCACCCUGACGGCAGCCUAUGGAAGCUACAGGAUCUUUGUGAACACACACACACACACACACACACACACACCCUGGUACCAUAUUCAGAAACAUGAUCAUUGAAGGCAAGUGAAAUCAAGACCUGCCAUAUUUCUGUCUUACCCAAAGAGCCAGUCAGAUCACCGUGAGGCUGGAAACCCAUGCGUGCACCACAGUAAGCCAUAAUGACCCUGAAGACAGGGGCUGAGCCUGCUGUGCAACAGGACUAAGAGCACAGAUCCUGGGAUUCUUGUCCUUCCUGCCCCUACAUUCUUAUUAUAAGCCCGAGAAGAACCAAACAGCUAAGAAGUUUGUUCCCAGGCAGUGAGCGCACGUUCAAAGCCUCGCCUUCAACCUCUGCACGCAAAAAGCAAUGCGGUUCCUUUCCUGGUGACAUGGAGUAGUGUGCUCAGCCACCUCUGUGCAACGUCCUGCUGAACCUAAUGGCCGACUCACUUUACAUGGAGGGUGGGCGGGGCUGGUGCCCGGCGUGCUCUGCCCACUGUCAGACACAAGUGACGAGGCAAUAGGGGUGGACUCUCGUUAGCACAGUGUUACACACACAGGACGAGGCGGGGUGCUCGGAACGGAAGCUAGGAAGUUUUCACUGGGUUUACACUUUCACUGUCCAACACAGUCAAUGCAUGAAACAUUUAUGACAGCAUCAUAACUAGAGAAACCACCUGCUUUCCUCCUUCUCCUGACUGUCACUGGCACUGUCCUUCCCCGCCCCUGACCUUCUGUUUGUCCUGGUCCGCUGCGCACGCGCGCGCGCACACACGUCUUCUGCAUGUAGCUAUAGUAUUGCCUAGAUUCCAGAAUUGAGGAAGAACACUCAGUUGUUGGUUGUUUUUUGUUUUUGUUUUUGUUUUCUGAGAAUGUGUGAUCUUGCUUAAUACUUUCCAUCCCAAGUCCACCCAUUUUCCUGCAAAUUUUAUGAUUUUAUUUUUCUUUAGAGCUGACUAGUAUAAAAUAUCUUUCAAAUUUUCACUAUCAAUUCAUCUGCUGAUGCGCAACUAGGUUGAUUCCAAGUUUUUGUUAUGGUGAACAGCCAUAUGGUCUCUGGGCGUUGUUAACUUUAAUAUGUGACUUUUUAUUUGCAUUUUAUAAUAAAGUUUGUAACAUUUUAUAAUAAAGUUUAAAUUUUUUAAAUUAAGUAAAAACCACAAAACAUA
Meriones unguiculatus (Mongolian gerbil) is the source of this 4905-nucleotide long non-coding RNA. RefSeq lists it as uncharacterized. NCBI's taxonomy places the organism in Eukaryota, Metazoa, Chordata, Mammalia, Rodentia, Muridae. The transcript is spliced from 2 exons. The record is from RefSeq and is a predicted model, not a curated record.